RNAcentral lists this ribosomal RNA (547 nucleotides) under Anthostomelloides leucospermi. RNAcentral's name for it is "eukaryotic LSU rRNA". The stretch from base 220 to 373 matches the Rfam family "5.8S ribosomal RNA". Lineage: Eukaryota; Fungi; Ascomycota; Sordariomycetes; Xylariales. The record is from RNAcentral.
UCCGAUGGGUGAACCUGCGGAGGGAUCAUUACAGAGUUAUUAUAAACUCCCAAACCCAUGUGAACAUACCUAUCGUUGCUUCGGCAGGUCGCGUCUACCCUGUAAGCUCCUACCCCGGAGCACCCUUACCCGGUAAACGCGGGGAAGCCUGCCGGUGGCCCCCGAAAAAAAAACUCUUGUUUAAUAUUGAAAAUCUGAAUCUAUAACUAAAUAAGUUAAAACUUUCAACAACGGAUCUCUUGGUUCUGGCAUCGAUGAAGAACGCAGCGAAAUGCGAUAAGUAAUGUGAAUUGCAGAAUUCAGUGAAUCAUCGAAUCUUUGAACGCACAUUGCGCCCAUUAGUAUUCUAGUGGGCAUGCCUGUUCGAGCGUCAUUUCAACCCUUAAGCCCCCGUUGCUUAGCGUUGGGAACCUACAGCGAUGUAGUUCCUUAAAGGUAGUGGCGGAGUCGGUUCAUACUCUAGGCGUAGUACAUCUUAUCUCGUCUCUGUAGUUGGAUCGUCCCUUGCCGUAAAACACCCCGAUUUCUAAAAGGUGACCUCGGAUCA